Molecule: ribosomal RNA, 469 nt
Filed under: uncultured bacterium
Lineage: Bacteria
Description: bacterial SSU rRNA
Rfam family: Bacterial small subunit ribosomal RNA
Source: RNAcentral
GCCAGACUCCUACGGGAGGCAGCAGUGGGGAAUAUUGCGCAAUGGGCGAAAGCCUGACGCAGCGACGCCGCGUGAGGGAUGAAGGUUCUCGGAUCGUAAACCUCUGUCAGAAGGGAAGAAAUUAUAUCAUGCUAAUCAGUGGUGUAUUGACGGUACCUUCAAAGGAAGCACCGGCUAACUCCGUGCCAGCAGCCGCGGUAAUACGGAGGGUGCGAGCGUUGUCCGGAAUCAUUGGGCGUAAAGCGUUCGUAGGCGGUAUGUCAAGUCUGAUGUUAAAGCCCGGGGCUCAACUCCGGUUCGGCAUUGGAUACUGGCAAACUAGAAUGUGGUAGAGGUAAAGGGAAUUCCUGGUGUAGCGGUGAAAUGCGUAGAUAUCAGGAGGAACAUCGGUGGCGAAAGCGCUUUACUGGACCAUUAUUGACGCUGAGGAACGAAAGCCAGGGGAGCAAAUGGGAUUAGAUACCCCGUA